GCCUGGCUGGCUCAGUCAAAAGAGCAUGUGACUCUUGAUCUCAGGGUUGUGAGUUCAAGCCCCACUUUGGGCA
RNAcentral lists this transfer RNA (73 nucleotides) under Felis catus (domestic cat). It matches the Rfam family "tRNA". From Rfam's summary of the family: Transfer RNA (tRNA) molecules are approximately 80 nucleotides in length. Their secondary structure includes four short double-helical elements and three loops (D, anti-codon, and T loops). The record is from Rfam by way of RNAcentral. Lineage: Eukaryota; Metazoa; Chordata; Mammalia; Carnivora; Felidae.